AAUUAAUUAUAAAUAAUAAAUUAAUAAUAAUAAUUAUCUAAUUAUUAAUAUUUAAUUAUAAAUAAUAAAUUAUUUAAAUUAUUUAAUUAUUAAAGUAAUAAAUAAUGAUUUAAAUAUAUUAAUUAGAUUAAUUAAUAAUUUACUGCCAUUAAAAUUAAAUUUAGAUUUUAAUUAAUCUUGUUCUCAUCAAGGAACAAGCUUGUUCCAGGAAACGGGUGGAACAGCAGUUCCAGCCUUAUACCAGCUAGUUCCAGAUUCCCGGAAACUACUGUUUCCGGGAACCAAACAUUGCGUUUGGGAACAAAGGGGGGAACAAGGGCUUAUUCCCCCCCUUGUUCCCGAACCAAACACUACCUAAGAGUUAACAAGUAAGAAAGAAACCUGUCCAUCUGUUA
Molecule: long non-coding RNA, 395 nt
Filed under: Ananas comosus (pineapple)
Lineage: Eukaryota; Viridiplantae; Streptophyta; Magnoliopsida; Poales; Bromeliaceae
Description: long non-coding RNA (ACOM_LNC012336)
Source: RNAcentral